This 581-nucleotide ribosomal RNA is filed under the name uncultured bacterium. RNAcentral describes it as "partial 16S ribosomal RNA". It matches the Rfam family "Bacterial small subunit ribosomal RNA", at positions 355 to 932 of the family's 1533-position model. The record is from RNAcentral.
UGGGGAAUAUUGGACAAUGGGCGCAAGCCUGAUCCAGCAAUGCCGCGUGUGUGAAGAAGGCCUUCGGGUUGUAAAGCACUUUUAUCAGGAGCGAAACGCUGUCGGCUAAUACCCGGCGGAACUGACGGUACCUGAGGAAUAAGCACCGGCUAACUUCGUGCCAGCAGCCGCGGUAAUACGAAGGGUGCAAGCGUUAAUCGGAAUUACUGGGCGUAAAGCGUGCGUAGGCGGUUUCUUAAGUCUGCUGUGAAAUCCCCGGGCUCAACCUGGGAAUGGCAGUGGAUACUGGGAGGCUAGAGUGUGUCAGAGGGUGGUGGAAUUCCCGGUGUAGCGGUGAAAUGCGUAGAGAUCGGGAGGAACAUCAGUGGCGAAGCGGCCACCUGGGACAACACUGACGCUGAGGCACGAAAGCGUGGGGAGCAAACAGGAUUAGAUACCCUGGUAGUCCACGCCCUAAAACGAUGCGAACUGGAUGUUGGUCUCAACUCGGAGAUCAGUGUCGAAGCUAACGCGUUAAGUUCGCCGCCUGGGGAGUACGGUCGCAAGACUGAAACUCAAAUGAAUUGACGGGGUCAUAGCUG